ACAAAAUUAAUGUCAAAGUGGAUAAAAAAAGACAUUGGAUCAGAUGGAAUAGAAGCCCAAAAGAAGUUGGACGAGCAAGCCAAGCCCACAUGCACUUGGCAUGUGCCAAGCACAUGUGGACCACACAACAACACAUGGCGUUGGCCAUGCUUGUGGCACUCGCCACACACAUAAAACAUGGCGCCGGCCAUGUGCCUUGUGGCACNNNNNNNNNNNNNNNNNNNNNNNNNGGAGAUAUUUGUAUCUCAUAAAGACUAUAAAUAGAGAACACCAGUCAGUGUUUUUCGGAGAUUAUUCUACGCAGACUUAAGAGAAAAAAUUCAGUUUAAAUUUCAGUUGUUAAGUAGUCUUAGUUUACGGAACAAGGUGUGGUGUUGCUGUUUACACUUCCAGUUUCAUUCAGUGUCUCUGCUUUCCUUUGUUCCGGUGUACCUGUACUAGUUUAACUAGUAUUUGUAAGUUUUAAUAACAGUAAUUUUAUUUUAUUCAGUUUCAGUAUUAUUAUAUUUCAGUUUGAUAUUCAUAUGCUCUGUUUGAUUUAAAGUUACUCUGUUUAAAUGUUUUGUUCAACUAAGAAUUGUUUAAUCAGUAUCAUGUCAAAUAAAAUCAUGUGUAGCUAAAUCUAUUUAACUGGAAUGUGAAUUAGGAAGCUAAUUUGGAUUUGGUAAUUAAUCUGUGAC
RNAcentral lists this long non-coding RNA (680 nucleotides) under Trifolium pratense (red clover). Its description in RNAcentral is "long non-coding RNA (TPRA_LNC014314)". The record is from RNAcentral. Lineage: Eukaryota; Viridiplantae; Streptophyta; Magnoliopsida; Fabales; Fabaceae.